This is a non-coding RNA of Pogona vitticeps (central bearded dragon), 235 nucleotides long. The record is from RefSeq and is a predicted model, not a curated record. Lineage: Eukaryota; Metazoa; Chordata; Lepidosauria; Squamata; Agamidae.
GGCGAAUCAGCAGCCACUUCCCGCGGAUGGGAUCAACUACAUUUCCCAGAAUGCCCGGCGGCAAUAUGGGAUACCGGUGGGAAUGUAUGAUGUAGUUCUCCAUAUCAAAGGGUGUAUAGAUAAAGACACAUAUUGACUUAAAGCAUCUAAUGAGAUGCUUCUCUGUGAGGAUGAAAUGACAGCAACGGGUCCACAAAGCUGAGUGACCGAAAUAUUCUCACAUACCUAAAGUAGC